GAUACCAAAACAACAGCAAACAAAGUAGUUCCGAAAGUUUAAGCGAAACCGAAACGGCAAAGGUGCCAGGGGGACCCCAUUGGGAAACUGGUAUUUUGGAUGGUCUUAAUCAGAUACGAGUGACGAUGACCACCGAAAACUUUAUAUGAACGGGUGCUGACGUCAGAAUGAAGUGUAUAGUGGUACAUGGAAAGACAACAAGAUAUUCCUCGACACAGAAGCAGCUCUUCCUAAGAUAGAAAAAGGACUGAAAAAUUACUACAUCGGUCGAUAGUCGGUAAAGCGGAAGCCAUCCAGGCUUCCAUUAGAAGUAGAUCUACGUCAUGCAGAUUCACGUGACUAAGCAUACAUUCUUUUUGUUGAUGUUGACUGAAGAGAAUAUAUGAGAUAAAAAAUUAUUUCGGAACCCUUAACCUCAGAUGCAGGUGAUAGCUGUCCAUUGAUAGAAGGCAUACAACUGUCAGCCAUCACAAAAGAAUUUGAUGUGAAGAAAUGAAUUCUAUGUCAACAAUACAACGAAAGUCAUAAUACCACAUCAGGAAUUUACGGGCAAGAAAAUAUUAAAUGUGCUGCUUCCAUCAGACAGGAUGAGGAAGUGUGCAAAAGGUUCAAAAUUGUGGCUGAAACCCAAUCUAAAUCAUUUGUAUAUCACCUUCCAAACUGCUAUAAGUCAUACACGAUGAAAAAAACACUUGAAUCCGUUGCUCAUUCACGAUCACUAGAAGCAAUUAAUCAGAAAUCGCUGUAUGAAGUAGCUGACCUCAACACUGAGGAAUCUGAGACUAUAUUAAAGUCGCUUCGUAGUGGCACACCUGCUAGGAGUAAGGCCAGCAGUAAAGUUCACCCUGAAUUUUUGUCAUGUGUGGUGUGCGGUUGUGCUAGAUCAAGAUUUGAGGGGAAAAAAGUCCAAGAGAAAUUUCGUAUUUGUGAAAAGGAUAGGGCAAAACUAUUCUUGCUUGCAGGCAGCACAGCAUUUCCAAGAUAAAGUGUUUGUUAGGGUUUCGGAUAUGUCAUCUGCAGAUGCAGUUUUUGAAGCAGACUUAUUUCUCACAAGCACUGCAUUGAAAAUGACACCAUAAGAUAUAAACGUUCAUUCAUUCCACCUCCCUGUGCCGAGAAAAUUCCUGUGUCAGUUCAAAAGCAAUCUCUUUUAUCAAAGGCAUUUGACCUUCUUGAGAAAGGAAAGGGGUUUAAUGUGAGUGACAUCACAGUUUAUAUAGGUACGUUAAAGAAGGGGAGUCAUAUCACACUACAAAAGAGGGAUGUGAACCAACUACUCAUGAACCACUGUGAUAAUAAGAUACAGUUUGCUGCAAUGCUUCUGAGUUGGUGUAUUCACCAGCUAUUCGUCCUGGCGAGCUGGCAAUCAAGAUCAAGAACCAGAAUAUCCUUCAUGAUGCAGGCUACAUAUUGAGAGGGAUUUUACAACAGGUUAACUUUGGUCUUGGGGAUAAAUUUUGUGAUGCUGAGGAGCUGAAAAAUCUUGGGAGGCUGCAACAAUGCCAGAUGGUUUGAUGACAUUCUUUUCAGUGUUAUUUGGUAUUCCAAAAACUAGCAUGGAUGAUGUCCAUCCAGUUGUAAUACCUGAUGAUCAGGAAAUGGAAAUGGAAGGUAAAACUGAUGCUAAUGAUGAUUGUGAUAGUUCUAACUUCACUGUCUAUCUCAGAUUCUCACUUACCAUCUCCAUAAAGGCAUACAAAAGAAUCCAUUACAGGCGACGGUCGGUCAAAGUACAUAUGGUAAGACAAGAAGUCGGGCUAUUAUAACCACACUGAAUCACAUUGGUGCCCCACCAAGUUACAAUGAAGUGGAAAGAGCCAGAAAUCUCCUGGCAUUGUAUGCUGUGCAUGCCUCAGAGGCUAAUGGUACCCUUAUUCCCAGCCCCUUUAGUGACAGUGGCUUUUGUAUUGGAGCAAUGGAUAACAGUGAUUAAGUUGAGUGUCACAAUGUCUAAAGUCAAUCUACCUCAUUUCAACUUGAAUUCCAGUGUGCAAAACUUGGUCGCAACUCCCAAAACUGCUGUUGUAGCUAAGGACAUUGCACAUGCACAUAGGACUGUGGAAAUUGCCAAAGAGACGGGUAUGCCAGUUUCAGAGAUUAUGAAGUAUGACCUCCUCCCCGUCUCUCCUUUGUUUGAUGGCGACUUCACCACGAAAACGGGCAAAUCCCAGCUUGUGGCUGAACUUGAGCAACACCUGACAACAGAACACUGCAAUCGGUUCACCUGGCAGCCACCAAUGAAGACCCAAGUUUUGCUGGAUUUUAUGUCUUAGAUUCGCCAGUACAGGGAUCUUACACAUUUCACGAGUAUUGGUGAAAUUAUUCAUAAUGUCAUGACAUCUCCAAAAUAUGCCUGCGACUCAGAGCCCAUUCACAUAAUUUUUGACAGCUAUAAUGAAUUUUCCAUCGAGGAAGGUGGGCGUAUCAGAAGAGGAGGUAAAUCUGGGGCGGUUGAUUUGAUCAAUAUUAAUGAGGAAAAGCCGAUUCCUAAGAAACUAGACAAUUUGUGCCUCUGGAAAGAAUAAGGAGCAACUGCAAGAGUUGGUCAGUAAGAUGGUGUCCCGAGACAUACAACAUGUGGUCAUCAGUGGUAUGGUAAGAGAUGGUGGAGUGAUUUUAGCUAAACUGGUAGAGAACAGUUGUGUUUGCGAUAUUCCAGAGCUGUCUAACUGGCAAGAAGAGGCUGACUGCCGCAUCAACCCACACGUUGAAUGGAGUGUCAGUAGAGGGUGUCGACGUGCUGUGAUACUUUCAAAGGACACAGACAGUGUUGCUCUAAUUCUGCGUUAUGUGCAUCACUUCAUUGACAAUGGCCUCCAAGAACUGUGGGUUCAGUUUGGGACUGGUGAUAGAAGACGUAUAGUCCUACUUCACAUCAUUUCCCAAAAACUUGGUAGGCCCCCAUUCAUGUCUUUCAUUAUUGAAGGCUCCUGUGCUCACUGGUGAUGACUCCAUGAGCCGAAUUGGUACCAGACAUGCAGCAUUAGUGAGUGAGUAGUCCUACCCAACUACUGGCGAACUUUGCAGAGACUGAUAUAAUAUCUGAUGAGGAUCUGCAUAUGGCUGAAAGAUUCUUAGUAUGAUCAAAGAUCAAAGACUGCAGCAUCAACUUUUGAUGAGCUACAUCAUGAGAUCUAUAUGUCACCAGCGUUUAAAGGACUGGAAAUGCUGCCUCCAACAUCAAGUGCUAUUCAUGGGCACUUACGCCGUGGGUUCUUUGUGUUACGGAAUGCACUAACACUCAUCUCAAGAACAACCAAUGAGCGUGAACCAGAAAAGUUCGGGUGGGAAAGAGAAAGCGGCCAUCACUUACCGAUGAAAUUUCUAAGGACACUUCCAGAUGACAAGUGCACUAGCAAAUGUGAAACAAAACGUUGCCGUUGCAAAGCUGCCAGUGUUUCCUGUGUAACAUACAGCCACAUAGACAGUAGUGACUGUAAAAACAGUGAGAUAUGUGCAUCUGAUGAUGGCAACGAUUUAUAAUGAGCUGCCUUUAUCUAAGACAGAUAAUGAUUGAUUAUACGUAGUUUGCUAUUAAUUAAAACAGAUAUCACAAUUUUCUUUUCACCAUGAUAUGUCACAUAAACAAUUUCAUUUGGAGUUCAGUUAACCUUGUAUUGUAAUUUGUAAAUAAGUGUGUGGAUUUUAUAUUACUCAUUGCAUGAAGUGUUUCUUGUAGCACAUAUUGCUACAAUGACAGAAAGACAGUGGGACUGUAAAAGCAAUGAGGCAUGUGCAGCUAAUGAUGGCAACUUUAAUAAUGAGCUGUCUUUAUCCUAAUACAGAUACCGAAUCGAUUUUUCCUAAUUUGCUAGUGGUUGAAACAAAAAUAAGUUAUAAUGUUCUUUGCACCAUGACAUGUCACGUAAAAAAGUUUCAUUUGGAGUUCAGUUAAACUUGUAUUGUAAUUUGUAAAUAAGGGUGUGGAUAUUACAUUAUUCAUUGCAUGAAGUGUCUUCCUCACUCCAAAUAUAAGGCAUGUCUAUAGAUUAAUCUCAUAGAUACGUCUAUCCAUAAAAAACGUAGAAGUAGGUGAAUUUCUCUUGUUACUGCUUCAUUUGUAGUUGUUUAUCAACAUUGUUUUAAAAGUCUUCAAAAUUCAGUGUAGAUGUUACCCGUCCUUGACAAACCCCAAAUAUCUUUCAAACUGUCUUCGUAAUUCCAAGAAUAAAAUCCAUGUAUUCUAGACAGAUUUAUGAAAUUUACUGCACAAAACCAAGCGCCAAAGCCCAAUGACCAUACAGUGCAACAAAAUAGAUGAGAAAAAAAUAUGUAUGUUUAAAAAUUCCUCAUACACUAAUACACUUUUACACACAAAUCACACCCUAAAAGGAUCAAUACUGACUGAUAC
Long non-coding RNA from Macrobrachium nipponense, 4351 nucleotides. RefSeq lists it as uncharacterized. NCBI's taxonomy places the organism in Eukaryota, Metazoa, Arthropoda, Malacostraca, Decapoda, Palaemonidae. The transcript has 3 exons. The record is from RefSeq and is a predicted model, not a curated record.